UACGAAGGGGGCUAGCGUUGUUCGGAAUCACUGGGCGUAAAGCGCGCGCAGGCGGCGCAUCGCGCCCGGCGUGAAAGCCCCCGGCUCAACCGGGGAGGGUCGUCGGGGACGGGUGCGCUUGAGGACGGCAGGGGCAGGUGGAAUUCCCGGUGUAGUGGUGAAAUGCGCAGAGAUCGGGAGGAACACCCGUGGCGAAGGCGGCCUGCUGGGCCGAUCCUGACGCUGAGGCGCGAAGGCGUGGGGAGCGAACGGG
RNAcentral lists this ribosomal RNA (253 nucleotides) under uncultured bacterium. Its description in RNAcentral is "partial 16S ribosomal RNA". It matches the Rfam family "Bacterial small subunit ribosomal RNA", at positions 524 to 776 of the family's 1533-position model. The record is from RNAcentral.